GCACUUUAAGGCAGCACCUAAUCAGAGGUGAACCGAGCAGCCGUUGAUGAUUUUAAAUUUGCCAACGUUUCGCACUUAUAUUAACGUUAGCUGAAUUUGUCAGGUCAACAACAUGCAACCAGGGAUUGAAGUUAUCACCUGAACACUAACUGACUGUUUCCUGUGAUUGUUGAUGUUUCCCUAACUAAAUGCCUCUCGAAGACCGUUUUCUUGCUGCUUUGUGAAUCCUCGACAGUCCACGAUGCAGCUUCGUUAGCCUCUGAUUCUAGGGGAAGGCCUUCAGCUGAUUGGAUUUGGACAGCAGAUACUCCUCGACGGGAGACGAUCCUUGAGGGCGCGGUCUCUCUCUCUCUGUGAACUGAGAUGGCUCGUCACAUGUCUGCGUGGACACAAGCCUCUGCCUCAAACACACAGCAGGAGGGAAACAGGAGAAGAGCAAAGCUGCCUGACAUCGUCGAUGAUGACAUCUUCAGACACUACCCUGCACUCUGCAGACACACCCAGCGCUCACUGC
This is a long non-coding RNA of Perca fluviatilis (European perch), 514 nucleotides long. RefSeq lists it as uncharacterized. The record is from RefSeq and is a predicted model, not a curated record. Lineage: Eukaryota; Metazoa; Chordata; Actinopteri; Perciformes; Percidae. The transcript has 5 exons.